UGAACUCUUCCUCUUCAUUCCUCCACGAAUUCUGAACUUCUGAAAUUGAAGAUGUUUCAUCUCUGAAGUUUUGGCGAUUGACAGUGGUUCAUCUCGUUCGCUAUUGAAGAUAUUACAUCUCAUUGAAGAUCGGAGUUGUUAAUCGAUGAAGAUCGAAGUCUAAGAGAUGUUGUAACAAUGCUAUUGCUGUGAAGCAACUUCUAGCAAGGCGUAAUUUGGUGCCUUCUGCUGCCUGUUCUUUAUGUUCAAGAGUGGAUGAAUCAGUAGUUCAUGCAUUAUUCCAAUGUUCUUUUGCGUCGACAGUAUGAUUUGGAAGGUCAGAAAUAAUGCCAUCUUUAAUCAUGUAGAGCCUAAUCUCCUCAGUGUUUCAGCAGCUAUUUCAACCUCCAUCCGGGAAUGUUAUAUUUGUAUUGGAGCUGCUGUUCAUGAAGAGAUGGUUUUUCCUCAUUAGGAAAGCAAUAUGGUGCUCAAUGUUAUUGCUAUGUCAGAUUUUUCUACUCCUCCUGUGGACCAUUUUACUUUAACCACUUAUGGUUCCUGGAGAUCCUCUUCGUGCAAAGGCAGGCGUGAAGCUAUUAUUACAACAUCAGAGGGUGUUUUUGUCGCUACAAAUUGUAGAGCAGGGUUCAGUUUUUCAGUAGCUGCUGCAGAAGCUAAGGCAGUAAGGGAUGGGAUCCUCUUGGCCAAAUUCUUGGGCAUUAAUUCUCUUGUUAUUUGUAGUGAUUGCUUAGCUAUAAUUUUUGCUUGUAAAGGGCUUCCUUCUUCCCUUGAUUGGGCUAGCCUUUUGAUAGUCAAAGACAUUUUAG
Molecule: long non-coding RNA, 806 nt
Organism: Macadamia integrifolia
Lineage: Eukaryota; Viridiplantae; Streptophyta; Magnoliopsida; Proteales; Proteaceae
Exons: 3
Source: RefSeq, a predicted model, not a curated record